UACGUAGGGUGCGAGCGUUAAUCGGAAUUACUGGGCGUAAAGCGUGCGCAGGCGGUCUGCUAAGACAGGUGUGAAAUCCCUGGGCUCAACCUAGGAAUUGCGCUUGUGACUGGCAGGCUAGAGUACGGUAGAGGGGGGUGGAAUUCCUGGUGUAGCAGUGAAAUGCGUAGAGAUCAGGAGGAACACCGAUGGCGAAGGCAGCCCCCUGGGCCUGUACUGACGCUCAGGCACGAAAGCGUGGGGAGCAAACAGG
RNAcentral lists this ribosomal RNA (253 nucleotides) under uncultured bacterium. RNAcentral's name for it is "partial 16S ribosomal RNA". It matches the Rfam family "Bacterial small subunit ribosomal RNA", at positions 524 to 776 of the family's 1533-position model. The record is from RNAcentral.